Molecule: ribosomal RNA, 449 nt
Filed under: uncultured bacterium
Lineage: Bacteria
Description: partial 16S ribosomal RNA
Rfam family: Bacterial small subunit ribosomal RNA
Source: RNAcentral
GCCAGACUCCUACGGGAGGCAGCAGUGGGGAAUAUUGGGCAAUGGAGGAAACUCUUACCCAGCAAUGCCGCGUGAAUGAAGAAGGUCUUCGGAUUGUAAAGUUCUUUAAUUGGGGACGAAAAAAAUGACGGUACCCAAGGAAUAAGCCCCGGCUAACUACGUGCCAGCAGCCGCGGUAAUACGUAGGGGGCAAGCGUUAUCCGGAUUUACUGGGUGUAAAGGGAGCGUAGACGGCGGUGCAAGCCAGAUGUGAAAGCCCAGGGCUCAACCCCGGGACUGCAUUUGGAACUGUGCUGCUAGAGUGUCGGAGAGGCAGGCGGAAUUCCUAGUGUAGCGGUGAAAUGCGUAGAUAUUAGGAGGAACACCAGUGGCGAAGGCGGCCUGCUGGACGAUGACUGACGUUGAGGCUCGAAAGCGUGGGGAGCAAACAGGAUUAGAUACCCUAGUAA